Dicentrarchus labrax (European seabass) is the source of this 2067-nucleotide long non-coding RNA. RefSeq lists it as uncharacterized. NCBI's taxonomy places the organism in Eukaryota, Metazoa, Chordata, Actinopteri, Moronidae. The record is from RefSeq and is a predicted model, not a curated record. The transcript is spliced from 2 exons.
CCCAAGCGGAUGCACGGAUCUUCACGUGUUCCGAGCGUAUGUUCUUCCCUGGGUGACAUCAGAAGAAAUGAAGACAGGCAAAGAUGAGGACGAGUUGUGACCCAGUUAGGGCUCCGCCAGCACAAAGGGUUUAUGGUUUGCUCUGGUUUUAUUUGUGUGGGAUCACCCAGACCAACGGAGACAGGAGCAGACAGAGAGAAGAUUCAUGAAAUGGGGGCUGAUGGAAGAAAUGAGGAUCACCAUGCUCUGUGUUUGUCAACAAAGUUUUCCCUCCAGCUGUGAUGGUGCCCUGGUUUGAUUUUUCCACAGCUGAGCACCGCAGCAGCACAAAAAUCCAGGUCGCAGAGGGCUGGAGCAUAUCCCACGGGGCUGAAGGCACUGGAGACACCCUGGAGAGGUCACCAAUAUAUCACAGGGCCAGACGUAUGUGUUCAAGAAAACUUCCACUAACACUGAGCCCUGAAAAAGGAUGUAAUUCCGAUGUGGGGAUGUGUGAAAUCGAGAAGAGGAAGCACAAAUGGAAACACUGAGCGAGAACUGCUGCUAUGUCUGGUCUGGUAGCGUAAUAUUGUCCAAAACAAUGUAAUGGCACAUUGCUAGAAUAAUUUCCAUUGGCGUAAAUUUGUAGUUGAACUACUGCGUGGUCUGACCCGCCAACUAGAGGUUUCAGGGAAAACACUUAACGUAUUCUUGAAUUUGUCCAUUGUUUCCGUUUCAGUAGGAGUGAACUGGAUAUGGAUGUUUGCAAGACGGGGCUGGACCUCAAGACGUACAUAGUAAGGCAAUAACUUACAUGCACGUUUACACCGUCUCCAUAACUAACCUGGACGUCUUUGGGAGGAAGCCCAGACAGACACAAGGAGAACAAACUCCUGACAGAAAGCCGGUCCCAACCCAGGACGUUCCGAUGCAAGUCAGUUUGGUUGUAGGUUGUAAAGAGUCAUUGAUCACAGAUGAAAUCCUCUGUUAUGGUUUGAAUCAUCAUUGUAUCAUUUCAGUGCCUAUUUGACUGUGCAUAGACGGUCAGUCGUUCAAUUUAGGCUACUAUGUCAAAGGAGACCAGGCACGUUCGGGGAAAAGUGAGCACACCAAAACAAUUUCACCACUUCAUCAUAAAAUAACUCCUGGAAUGUGUCGCGAGUAAUGGAUUGGUGAUGUUAAGAGUCUCUGUGGGUGUUUUUUUCCUCGUUAAAGUCAUGUUGGUUAAGGGAAAGGGGAGGUCAUGACGGAGAAUUUACUCUUCAAAAAGUGGUUUGUCAUUUUUGUGGUCUGCUGCACUCAAUUUUAUUUGUUUCUUGUUUGAGCUCUUCCUGGCAACCACAAAGCCCAGAGAUGUCCAAGGAUACAAAACGUAGCGCCUCUACUUUCUGUCAUGAGGGUGAAGCGGAAGGCGGACUGCUGAUGAAGAUGUUGGCAGACUAAAAUCAAUCAACAUCCUAUAAAAACAACAUGACUUGAUGCCUUUUCUGACACCAUUUAGAAGCUACCAAGUUUAUAACACACUGUUUCUCUGUGUACCAGGACUGGAAUGGUUUGGAUGGAAAAAUCUUCACAAUUCUUCCAGUUAAUCAAAUUAGACAAAUACAAAUAACCUUCCCUUUUAUUUAGAUUAACUAAGUACAGUAAAGCCACCGUGAUUGCAGGAAAUUGCCUUUUUUUGAAGGGAGGCAUAUUUUUCCAUGACCGCUGAGCGUCUUCUCUCCAAAAGGUGGAUUGCAUUGAGACCUGUGCUCAGCGCAGUUCCAAAGGCAGAAAUAUCCAUGUGAAUUACAUCUGAUACUCAAGCGCUGUGUGACCAUGAAAGGAGCAGAGCGUGGCUGCCUGUCAUAAUAUGUCCUUGGAAAAGGCCUGGGUCAAAUAAUUUUAGUCUUGGCAUUAUUUGAACCUGGAUGGAGCUCAGGAAUGGUGGAAUUCGCUGUAUUGAGAUGAUUCAAAUGGAGUCAGGUGGCUUGUCAGUGACAGAAAAAUAUUAUUUACUUCAUAUCACAGCUGUCUUGCCUACCUCCUCUUAAACUUCCACCUUUUGAUCUUUGAUCUUUGAAUAAAUGAAUUAAUGAAUGAGCGUCA